RNAcentral lists this ribosomal RNA (684 nucleotides) under Qipengyuania aquimaris. RNAcentral describes it as "bacterial SSU rRNA". It matches the Rfam family "Bacterial small subunit ribosomal RNA", at positions 18 to 749 of the family's 1533-position model. Lineage: Bacteria; Pseudomonadati; Pseudomonadota; Alphaproteobacteria; Sphingomonadales; Erythrobacteraceae. The record is from RNAcentral.
CAUGGCUCAGAACGAACGCUGGCGGCAUGCCUAACACAUGCAAGUCGAACGAACCCUUCGGGGUUAGUGGCGCACGGGUGCGUAACGCGUGGGAACCUGCCUUUAGGUUCGGAAUAACUCAGAGAAAUUUGAGCUAAUACCGGAUAAUGUCUUCGGACCAAAGAUUUAUCGCCUUUAGAUGGGCCCGCGUUAGAUUAGAUAGUUGGUGGGGUAAUGGCCUACCAAGUCGACGAUCUAUAGCUGGUCUGAGAGGAUGAUCAGCCACACUGGGACUGAGACACGGCCCAGACUCCUACGGGAGGCAGCAGUGGGGAAUAUUGGACAAUGGGCGAAAGCCUGAUCCAGCAAUGCCGCGUGAGUGAUGAAGGCCUUAGGGUUGUAAAGCUCUUUUACCAGGGAUGAUAAUGACAGUACCUGGAGAAUAAGCUCCGGCUAACUCCGUGCCAGCAGCCGCGGUAAUACGGAGGGAGCUAGCGUUGUUCGGAAUUACUGGGCGUAAAGCGCGCGUAGGCGGCGAUCCAAGUCAGGGGUGAAAUCCCGGGGCUCAACCCCGGAACUGCCCUUGAAACUAGGUUGCUAGAAUACUGGAGAGGUGAGUGGAAUUCCGAGUGUAGAGGUGAAAUUCGUAGAUAUUCGGAAGAACACCAGUGGCGAAGGCGACUCACUGGACAGUUAUGACGCUGA